RNAcentral lists this ribosomal RNA (466 nucleotides) under uncultured bacterium. Its description in RNAcentral is "bacterial SSU rRNA". It matches the Rfam family "Bacterial small subunit ribosomal RNA", at positions 1 to 451 of the family's 1533-position model. The record is from RNAcentral.
CCCUUAGAGUUUGAUCCUGGCUCAGGAUGAACGCUGGCGGCGUGCUUAACACAUGCAAGUCGAGCGAAGCACUUAUGAAAGAUUCUUCGGAUGAUUUCAUUUGUGACUGAGCGGCGGACGGGUGAGUAACGCGUGGGUAACCUGCCUCAUACAGGGGGAUAACAGUUGGAAACGACUGCUAAUACCGCAUAAGCGCACAGUACCGCAUGGUACGGUGUGAAAAACUCCGGUGGUAUGAGAUGGACCCGCGUCUGAUUAGCUAGUUGGUGGGGUAACGGCCUACCAAGGCGACGAUCAGUAGCCGACCUGAGAGGGUGACCGGCCACAUUGGGACUGAGACACGGCCCAAACUCCUACGGGAGGCAGCAGUGGGGAAUAUUGCACAAUGGGGGAAACCCUGAUGCAGCAACGCCGCGUGAGUGAAGAAGUAUUUCGGUAUGUAAAGCUCUAUCAGCAGGGAAGAAAA